UUUCCAGGAUCAGUAUAGCAGGAGAUCGUCAUAAAUCUGUUUCACAAGCAGAAUAUCUGCAGACAAUGUAUAGAAAUGUAGACUUUUUUAUUUUAUUAUAUUAUUAGAACUGAAACGGAAUACCCACGAUAGGGCGUCAGGGUGCCGGAAAACUGAAUCCCACAUAUGUACAUUCACCAAGACUGAAGGAGUGAAUCAGUUACUGAAAAUGAUCAUAAAUACAAAAACAUUCCACAGUCCACUGGAUGACUCCCUUAAACGCAGAUAAACCACCAAGAGACAUCGCAAAGAACCAUCUACCGUUAUAAGCACACAGGAGAUAGAUCAGCUCAAAGAACAAGAAGUGACUGAACAUAGAAUUCAAGAUUCAUACACAGGGCACUGUUGUUCGCACAUGCAAAUGGCCAAUGUAUUAAAUCUGAGCCGUACAGCGCAUCACUCCAUAAUGCGGGAAAAGACGCAGCACAGAAUGAGGUUCACAGUCUGAGAAUUACAGUGGGUGCUCCUGGGAGGUAACAGAGGGGUGACAAAACUAAUGUGUGUAUCGCUAAAAUCGAAGACGCACAACAGCUGACGCUGGAAGCCAUACUCUGAUGGAGACACUGCACCUGACCUAUGGCGCCGUCUAAAGACGCACAGUCAUGAAUACACAUUUUCUUAAGACGACGCAAGUGGCCGUCUCGCUCCUUUACAAAUCAGACGUGGCAUUUGUAUAAAAACACAGACAUGACAGAGGCUGAAGACUCAGCCGCUGCUGCAUCUGACUAAAUCAAAGCAAUAACUUUUCCACGCGUUUCACAUGUCUAUCAAAGCAAUCAAAUUUCAACGCGUUUCACAUAUGUACUUACACAAAUAACUCCUCCAGAAUAUCACACUUAGGCCCAGAUUUAUCAAGCCUUGGAGAGUGAUAAAUGGCACCGUGAAAGUACCAACAAACCAGCUCCUAACUGUCAGUUUUCAAACCCAGCUUGUAACAUGGCAGCUAGGAGCUGAUUGGCUGCUACUUUAUCAUUCCAAGGCUUGAUAAAUCUGGGCCUUAGAUUGUAAACUCCGUUGCUGCUGAACUAGCCUUGCUGGGAAGUUUAGCAACUUCAUAUAUGUGCUGAGUUAGUCUCAUUAUAAUUACAAUGAAAAUCAUUUUCCAU
Long non-coding RNA from Pseudophryne corroboree (corroboree frog), 1145 nucleotides. RefSeq lists it as uncharacterized. NCBI's taxonomy places the organism in Eukaryota, Metazoa, Chordata, Amphibia, Anura, Myobatrachidae. The record is from RefSeq and is a predicted model, not a curated record. The transcript has 3 exons.